AGGUGCUUGGGAUUAGGACCUGUCCCCAGUAAAGUUUUUAAACAAGCAAGACCUCGUUUCAGUGGUACAAGUGCUUCAAUCAGUGAAGGUUCAUGUUCGUCCCAAUGUCAACAGAACCAUAAGAAAAUGAUGAAUGCUCAGGAAAAAAUGAUGAAUGCUUUCAAGGCAUAUAUGAUAAUGAAAGAAGGGACGAUUCCAGAACAGUUUGCGGGGUUCUUUGCUUCUUCUUCGGCGGUUUCUCCUACAACACCAAGUGAUGCGACUAGUGGAUCCCUUUCGCCCAUGGAUGCAAGAAGAUCAUGCGGUGAUAGUAAUCCUAGUGACAACCGUUGAUUUCAUUGUAUUGUUUGGUAGGAACGGAUGUUAGAAUGCUGGAGUGAAUGUAUUGUGUUUAAAUUUAGUUUUUGACUGAUCUGAUAAUGCUACUUAAAUUUUUAGUUUCAAAAACUAAGGGUACUUUAUGAUAACAUUUGUGAUUUUACGAUA
Long non-coding RNA from Lycium ferocissimum, 486 nucleotides. RefSeq lists it as uncharacterized. The transcript has 2 exons. Lineage: Eukaryota; Viridiplantae; Streptophyta; Magnoliopsida; Solanales; Solanaceae. The record is from RefSeq and is a predicted model, not a curated record.